This 301-nucleotide ribosomal RNA is filed under the name uncultured bacterium. RNAcentral describes it as "partial 16S ribosomal RNA". It matches the Rfam family "Bacterial small subunit ribosomal RNA", at positions 509 to 807 of the family's 1533-position model. The record is from RNAcentral.
CAGCCGCCGCGGUAAUACGAGGGGUGCAAGCGUUAUUCGGAUUGAUUGGGUGUAAAGGGUGUGCAGACGGCUUAUUAAGUCACUUGUUAAAUUCUUCGGCCUAACUGAAGGUCUGCAAGUGAUACUGAUGAGCUAGAGGGUGGAAGAGAGAAGUGGAAUUCUCGGAGUAGCGGUAAAAUGCGUAGAUCUCGAGAGGAACACCAAUGGCGAAGGCAGCUUCUUGGUCCAUUCCUGACGUUCAUACACGAAAGCGUGGGGAGCGAACAGGAUUAGAUACCCCUGUAGUCCCUGUCUCUUAUAC